RNAcentral lists this ribosomal RNA (2904 nucleotides) under Escherichia coli. RNAcentral's name for it is "23S ribosomal RNA". It matches the Rfam family "Bacterial large subunit ribosomal RNA". Lineage: Bacteria; Pseudomonadati; Pseudomonadota; Gammaproteobacteria; Enterobacterales; Enterobacteriaceae. The record is from RNAcentral.
GGUUAAGCGACUAAGCGUACACGGUGGAUGCCCUGGCAGUCAGAGGCGAUGAAGGACGUGCUAAUCUGCGAUAAGCGUCGGUGAGGUGAUAUGAACCGUUAUAACCGGCGAUUUCCGAAUGGGGAAACCCAGUGUGAUUCGUCACACUAUCAUUAACUGAAUCCAUAGGUUAAUGAGGCGAACCGGGGGAACUGAAACAUCUAAGUACCCCGAGGAAAAGAAAUCAACCGAGAUUCCCCCAGUAGCGGCGAGCGAACGGGGAGCAGCCCAGAGCCUGAAUCAGUGUGUGUGUUAGUGGAAGCGUCUGGAAAGGCGCGCGAUACAGGGUGACAGCCCCGUACACAAAAAUGCACAUGCUGUGAGCUCGAUGAGUAGGGCGGGACACGUGGUAUCCUGUCUGAAUAUGGGGGGACCAUCCUCCAAGGCUAAAUACUCCUGACUGACCGAUAGUGAACCAGUACCGUGAGGGAAAGGCGAAAAGAACCCCGGCGAGGGGAGUGAAAAAGAACCUGAAACCGUGUACGUACAAGCAGUGGGAGCCUCUUAAUGGGGUGACUGCGUACCUUUUGUAUAAUGGGUCAGCGACUUAUAUUCUGUAGCAAGGUUAACCGAAUAGGGGAGCCGAAGGGAAACCGAGUCUUAACUGGGCGUUAAGUUGCAGGGUAUAGACCCGAAACCCGGUGAUCUAGCCAUGGGCAGGUUGAAGGUUGGGUAACACUAACUGGAGGACCGAACCGACUAAUGUUGAAAAAUUAGCGGAUGACUUGUGGCUGGGGGUGAAAGGCCAAUCAAACCGGGAGAUAGCUGGUUCUCCCCGAAAGCUAUUUAGGUAGCGCCUCGUGAAUUCAUCUCCGGGGGUAGAGCACUGUUUCGGCAAGGGGGUCAUCCCGACUUACCAACCCGAUGCAAACUGCGAAUACCGGAGAAUGUUAUCACGGGAGACACACGGCGGGUGCUAACGUCCGUCGUGAAGAGGGAAACAACCCAGACCGCCAGCUAAGGUCCCAAAGUCAUGGUUAAGUGGGAAACGAUGUGGGAAGGCCCAGACAGCCAGGAUGUUGGCUUAGAAGCAGCCAUCAUUUAAAGAAAGCGUAAUAGCUCACUGGUCGAGUCGGCCUGCGCGGAAGAUGUAACGGGGCUAAACCAUGCACCGAAGCUGCGGCAGCGACACUAUGUGUUGUUGGGUAGGGGAGCGUUCUGUAAGCCUGCGAAGGUGUGCUGUGAGGCAUGCUGGAGGUAUCAGAAGUGCGAAUGCUGACAUAAGUAACGAUAAAGCGGGUGAAAAGCCCGCUCGCCGGAAGACCAAGGGUUCCUGUCCAACGUUAAUCGGGGCAGGGUGAGUCGACCCCUAAGGCGAGGCCGAAAGGCGUAGUCGAUGGGAAACAGGUUAAUAUUCCUGUACUUGGUGUUACUGCGAAGGGGGGACGGAGAAGGCUAUGUUGGCCGGGCGACGGUUGUCCCGGUUUAAGCGUGUAGGCUGGUUUUCCAGGCAAAUCCGGAAAAUCAAGGCUGAGGCGUGAUGACGAGGCACUACGGUGCUGAAGCGACAAAUGCCCUGCUUCCAGGAAAAGCCUCUAAGCAUCAGGUAACAUCAAAUCGUACCCCAAACCGACACAGGUGGUCAGGUAGAGAAUACCAAGGCGCUUGAGAGAACUCGGGUGAAGGAACUAGGCAAAAUGGUGCCGUAACUUCGGGAGAAGGCACGCUGAUAUGUAGGUGAAGUCCCUCGCGGAUGGAGCUGAAAUCAGUCGAAGAUACCAGCUGGCUGCAACUGUUUAUUAAAAACACAGCACUGUGCAAACACGAAAGUGGACGUAUACGGUGUGACGCCUGCCCGGUGCCGGAAGGUUAAUUGAUGGGGUUAGCGGCAACGCGAAGCUCUUGAUCGAAGCCCCGGUAAACGGCGGCCGUAACUAUAACGGUCCUAAGGUAGCGAAAUUCCUUGUCGGGUAAGUUCCGACCUGCACGAAUGGCGUAAUGAUGGCCAGGCUGUCUCCACCCGAGACUCAGUGAAAUUGAACUCGCUGUGAAGAUGCAGUGUACCCGCGGCAAGACGGAAAGACCCCGUGAACCUUUACUAUAGCUUGACACUGAACAUUGAGCCUUGAUGUGUAGGAUAGGUGGGAGGCUUUGAAGUGUGGACGCCAGUCUGCAUGGAGCCGACCUUGAAAUACCACCCUUUAAUGUUUGAUGUUCUAACGUGGGCCCGUAAUCCGGGUUGCGGACAGUGUCUGGUGGGUAGUUUGACUGGGGCGGUCUCCUCCUAAAGAGUAACGGAGGAGCACGAAGGUUGGCUAAUCCUGGUCGGACAUCAGGAGGUUAGUGCAAUGGCAUAAGCCAGCUUGACUGCGAGCGUGACGGCGCGAGCAGGUGCGAAAGCAGGUCAUAGUGAUCCGGUGGUUCUGAAUGGAAGGGCCAUCGCUCAACGGAUAAAAGGUACUCCGGGGAUAACAGGCUGAUACCGCCCAAGAGUUCAUAUCGACGGCGGUGUUUGGCACCUCGAUGUCGGCUCAUCACAUCCUGGGGCUGAAGUAGGUCCCAAGGGUAUGGCUGUUCGCCAUUUAAAGUGGUACGCGAGCUGGGUUUAGAACGUCGUGAGACAGUUCGGUCCCUAUCUGCCGUGGGCGCUGGAGAACUGAGGGGGGCUGCUCCUAGUACGAGAGGACCGGAGUGGACGCAUCACUGGUGUUCGGGUUGUCAUGCCAAUGGCACUGCCCGGUAGCUAAAUGCGGAAGAGAUAAGUGCUGAAAGCAUCUAAGCACGAAACUUGCCCCGAGAUGAGUUCUCCCUGACCCUUUAAGGGUCCUGAAGGAACGUUGAAGACGACGACGUUGAUAGGCCGGGUGUGUAAGCGCAGCGAUGCGUUGAGCUAACCGGUACUAAUGAACCGUGAGGCUUAACCUU